Molecule: RNA transcript, 2304 nt
Organism: Cornus florida
Lineage: Eukaryota; Viridiplantae; Streptophyta; Magnoliopsida; Cornales; Cornaceae
Gene name: bifunctional 3-dehydroquinate dehydratase/shikimate dehydrogenase, chloroplastic-like
Exons: 10
Source: RefSeq, a predicted model, not a curated record
UUCUUGAUUUUUUGAGUUGCUGCUUUGUAUUUUAUCCAUAUCGGUUUAAAUUAAAUAUGACCCACCAACCGUUUUAGAAUUUCUUUCAUAUUUUUUCUCUAACAAACCCCCUCUCUUUAGCUACAUUCAACCUCUGUCAUCGUUGCUUGACCUUUUUCUGCCUUUUCUCUGGUUGUUUUGAUAUUUACUUCAAUGGGUUCUCUUGACAUUUAAAAGAAAACCUUCCAAAAGUUACCCUUGUGUGUGCGUGUGUGUGUGUUAAAGGGUAAUGGGUAUCCAAAAAUUAGUACAGCACACGCAUAUAUAUAUAUAUAUAUAUAUAUAUAUUUUUUUUUUUCAUAAGCUAUCCAAAAGUUACUAUUUCUUCUCAUUGCACUAAUCCCAUUCUCUAUAUAUAAUACAUUAAGUGUGUGUGUGGUUGUCUGCAUUCAAUCGAUCAAUCUCUUUGAGCACCAUUGCUUGAAAAGUUCUCUCUUUCCAUUUCAAUCUUGUCUUCAAACGUGUAGUUUGGAAUCCAAACAGGACACAAUCAUUACAUCAACCACCAAUUUGAAACAUUAUCAUCUCACUAAUCCACUCUUUUUUUUCCUCUUCGACCAGCAUUUCUUGAUUUUGAUUUUCUUUUUAAUUGUAUAGUUUUGUUGGUUUUUUUUUUUUAAUCUUCUGUUCAAAUGGUUAGUGUUGGUAUGGUGAGGAAUUCAACAAUGAUUUGUGCUCCAUUGAUGAGUCAAUCCAUCGAGCAGAUGGAGAGUGAUAUGCAUCAGGCCAAGAAACAAGGUGCUGAUGUGGUUGAGAUCAGGCUGGACUGUAUAAACAAUUUCCGGCCGCGCCAAGACCUGGAAAUCCUCCUCAAGAACAAGCCUCUGCCAGUUAUUAUCACAUACAAGACAAAAAGGGAAGGCCGUCUGUCUGGGGCUGAUGAACACACGCAGUUGGAAGUGCUUCAUUUAGCUAAAAAACUGAGAGCAGAUUAUAUUGAUUUGGAGCUUGAGGUAGCUGCUGACUUGAUGGAGAAACAUAAACUGAACCAGCGUAGAGGUAGCAAAGUAAUUGUAUCAUGUUAUGUGGAAAGUGCUACCCCUUCGAAAGAAGAUCUCAGCCAUCUUGUUGCACGCAUGCAAUCAUUUGGAGCAGAUAUCAUUAAACUUGUGACCAGUGCAACUGAUAUUACAGAAAUAGCAAGAAUUUUUCAUUUGCUUUCGUGUUGUCAGGUACCGAUAAUUGCAUACACUAUUGGGGACAGAGGUCUUAUAAGUCAGAUAGUUGGCCCAAAAUUUGGUGGUUUUUUAGUUUAUGGAUCUAUUGAAGGAAAUCCAGUGCCUGGACUACCUACUUUAGUCACCCUUAGACACAUUUAUGAGGUAAACAAUAUAAAUGCAGAUACUAAAGUUUUUGGGCUCAUCUCAAAACCAGUAAGCCAUAGCAAAGGCCCUAUUUUGCAUAAUCCUACCUUCAGACAUGUGGGCUACAAUGGAGUCUAUGUCCCUAUGCUUGUUGAUGAUCUGAAGGAGUUCUUUAGAGUCUACUCGAGCCCUGACUUUGCUGGUUUCAGUGUUGGAAUUCCAUACAAGGAAGCUGUAAUUGGGUUUUGCGACGAAGUUCAUCCACUUGCUCAGUCCAUAGGUGCUGUUAAUACUAUUAUAAGGCGGCCUAAUGAUGGGAAGCUGGUUGGCUAUAAUACAGAUUGUGAGGCUUCAAUAACUGCUAUUGAGGAUGCUCUAAAAGUUAGACGCACUAAUGGGGAAGGAUCACUUCAAUCUCCGCUCGCUGGGAAAUUGUUUGUGCUGGUAGGUGCUGGGGGUGCAGGAAGAGCACUGGCAUUUGGUGCUAAAAGCAGGGGAGCAAGGGUUGUCAUAUUUGACAUUGAUUUUGAUAGGGCGAAGGAUCUUGCUCGUGCAGUGUCCGGUGAAGCUCAGCCUUAUGAAGAUUUAGUUAAGUUCCAGCCAGAGAAAGGUGAGCUUGGGGGAUUACCAACUUGUCUUCGAUUCUGUUUACACACCUAGAAAAACCAGGCUAUUAAAAGAAGCUGAGGCUGCUGGAGCCAUCACUGUGAGUGGAGUUGAAAUGUUCCUCCGUCAGGCCAUUGGCCAGUUCAAUCUCUUCACUGGCAGCGAAGCACCUGAUGAUUUCAUGCGGAACAUCAUUCUGAGGGAGUUCUGAUGCAUGAGAUAAUAUUGUAAACAUUAGUUCUUGUAUAAUUUGUUUAUCAAUCAUUUCUUGAUUGGAACAACAAUGAUAAAGCUAAUAAAUCAGGCUUGAGAUGAUUAUGAUGGCACUUUAGUCUUUACAUCUCAUUUUGGAGAC